Molecule: non-coding RNA, 46 nt
Organism: Podiceps cristatus (great crested grebe)
Lineage: Eukaryota; Metazoa; Chordata; Aves; Podicipediformes; Podicipedidae
Source: Rfam
CCAAAGGCUCUUUUAAGAGCCACCUACCUGCUCUGAGAAAGAGCUU